Daphnia pulex (common water flea) is the source of this 566-nucleotide long non-coding RNA. RefSeq lists it as uncharacterized. Lineage: Eukaryota; Metazoa; Arthropoda; Branchiopoda; Diplostraca; Daphniidae. The transcript has 3 exons. The record is from RefSeq and is a predicted model, not a curated record.
UCGGGAAAAGCGGGGAUACGUCUUUGAAAUGCUUUAAAAAUAAGCAAGUGACGAGUAGAUUUAGGAUAAGGAUCAGAUAUAAAUUUUGAACAAAUAGUCAGUAAGAAAUCACUCACUCAAGACAGUAUCCGGUCACUUCCAGCCACAACAAAUUUUAAUAUGAAAAGCACAUCACUACCUUUGGUUUCCUUGGUGGUACUGCUUGCGGUUAGUCUGCCAGGAUCGACUGCGGAUCCUGUAGGAACUUGUCCAGCAGUUGAUGGCGCGAUCCCAGUUUACUUGCCAGAUUCUGUUAGUUGCGAGGUAUUUUAUGAAUGCAGCAACGGUGUCGCAACUGAAAAUAUUUGUCCACCCAACCCUUCCGGAGUUGGAAAUUUGCACUGGAACAAAUCCUUAAACGUCUGCGAUUAUCCAGAAAACGCGAAUUGCUCUCUAUAACAAACAUUGAGAAAUUAAUAUAGAUUAUGUUUUACUGCAGGACGCUUUCAUUCAUUGUUAAAUGUAAUUUCUAGUAUCGCAUACCGGUAAACCAAAAAUAUGGGCACCAAAUAAAUGUUUUUUUUUUU